UAAUACGUAGGGCGCAAGCGUUAUCCGGAAUUAUUGGGCGUAAAGAGCUCGUAGGCGGUUUGUCGCGUCUGCUGUGAAAUCCCGAGGCUCAACCUCGGGCCUGCAGUGGGUACGGGCAGACUAGAGUGCGGUAGGGGAGAUUGGAAUUCCUGGUGUAGCGGUGGAAUGCGCAGAUAUCAGGAGGAACACCGAUGGCGAAGGCAGAUCUCUGGGCCGUAACUGACGCUGAGGAGCGAAAGGGUGGGGAGCAAACAGGCUUAGAUACCCUGGUAGUCCACCCCGUAAACGUUGGGAACUAGUUGUGGGGACCAUUCCACGGUUUCCGUGACGCAGCUAACGCAUUAAGUUCCCCGCCUGGGGAGUACGGCCGCAAGGCUAAA
Molecule: ribosomal RNA, 380 nt
Filed under: uncultured bacterium
Lineage: Bacteria
Description: bacterial SSU rRNA
Rfam family: Bacterial small subunit ribosomal RNA
Source: RNAcentral